This 546-nucleotide ribosomal RNA is filed under the name Kocuria varians. Its description in RNAcentral is "bacterial SSU rRNA". It matches the Rfam family "Bacterial small subunit ribosomal RNA", at positions 814 to 1355 of the family's 1533-position model. The record is from RNAcentral. Lineage: Bacteria; Bacillati; Actinomycetota; Actinomycetes; Micrococcales; Micrococcaceae.
CACUAGGUGUGGGGAACAUUCCACGUUUUCCGCGCCGUAGCUAACGCAUUAAGUGCCCCGCCUGGGGAGUACGGCCGCAAGGCUAAAACUCAAAGGAAUUGACGGGGGCCCGCACAAGCGGCGGAGCAUGCGGAUUAAUUCGAUGCAACGCGAAGAACCUUACCAAGGCUUGACAUACACCGGACCGGGCCAGAGAUGGUCUUUCCCCCUUGUGGGGCUGGUGUACAGGUGGUGCAUGGUUGUCGUCAGCUCGUGUCGUGAGAUGUUGGGUUAAGUCCCGCAACGAGCGCAACCCUCGUUCUAUGUUGCCAGCACGUGAUGGUGGGGACUCAUAGGAGACUGCCGGGGUCAACUCGGAGGAAGGUGGGGAUGACGUCAAAUCAUCAUGCCCCUUAUGUCUUGGGCUUCACGCAUGCUACAAUGGCCAGUACAAUGGGUUGCGAUGCCGCGAGGUGGAGCUAAUCCCAAAAAGCUGGUCUCAGUUCGGAUCGUGGUCUGCAACUCGACCACGUGAAGUCGGAGUCGCUAGUAAUCGCAGAUCAGCAA